GCGGUAUUGGCCUAGUCUGGUCUAAGGCACUUGAUUGUCAAUCAAGAGAGCACGGGUUCGAAUCCCGUAUGCCGCGC
This 77-nucleotide transfer RNA is filed under the name Streptomyces phage Shaeky. RNAcentral's name for it is "tRNA-Asp". It matches the Rfam family "tRNA". Rfam says of the family: Transfer RNA (tRNA) molecules are approximately 80 nucleotides in length. Lineage: Duplodnaviria; Heunggongvirae; Uroviricota; Caudoviricetes; Colingsworthviridae. The record is from RNAcentral.